This 468-nucleotide ribosomal RNA is filed under the name uncultured Pseudomonas sp. RNAcentral describes it as "bacterial SSU rRNA". It matches the Rfam family "Bacterial small subunit ribosomal RNA", at positions 916 to 1381 of the family's 1533-position model. Lineage: Bacteria; Pseudomonadati; Pseudomonadota; Gammaproteobacteria; Pseudomonadales; Pseudomonadaceae. The record is from RNAcentral.
GACGGGACCCGCACAAGCGGUGGAUGAUGUGGAUUAAUUCGAUGCAACGCGAAAACCUUACCUACCCUUGACAUGUCCGGAAUCCCGAAGAGAUUUGGGAGUGCUCGCAAGAGAACCGGAACACAGGUGCUGCAUGGCUGUCGUCAGCUCGUGUCGUGAGAUGUUGGGUUAAGUCCCGCAACGAGCGCAACCCUUGUCAUUAGUUGCUACAUUCAGUUGGGCACUCUAAUGAGACUGCCGGUGACAAACCGGAGGAAGGUGGGGAUGACGUCAAGUCCUCAUGGCCCUUAUAGGUGGGGCUACACACGUCAUACAAUGGAUGGUACAAAGGGUCGCCAACCCGCGAGGGGGAGCCAAUCCCAUAAAGCCAUUCGUAGUCCGGAUCGCAGUCUGCAACUCGACUGCGUGAAGUCGGAAUCGCUAGUAAUCGUGGAUCAGAAUGUCACGGUGAAUACGUUCCCGGGUCUU